AAAGCCUGCACCGUGGGCAGGAGGGGGAGAGGGUGACUGGUGAGCAAUCUGCUUGUCCUCUCUCUCUCUCUGUCUCUGAACACAGACGCCUGGAGGAUGACCACCCAGAAGGGACUGCGGCCUCCCACCUGCUCAGCCAGAAACCAUGGAGCCGGGCCCAGGCAGAACUGCAAUCAACUGCAUUCCCUGGCACAACAACAACCCUGUGUACCAAUCGACGCGUCUGGAGGGCUAAGAGCUGCCAGCCAUCGCUGUGACCGGGUCCCUCAUCCUCCCACUGUAUAUGAAGCCGAAAAUGGAAUCAGUAGAAAUGAAGUUUUGCCACGACAUGAGAAGCCAGAAAAGUGAAGCAGAACAUGAACAGGAACAUUAUUCAGCCUUGGCUGACUA
This is a long non-coding RNA of Brienomyrus brachyistius, 390 nucleotides long. RefSeq lists it as uncharacterized. The record is from RefSeq and is a predicted model, not a curated record. NCBI's taxonomy places the organism in Eukaryota, Metazoa, Chordata, Actinopteri, Osteoglossiformes, Mormyridae. The transcript has 3 exons.